Long non-coding RNA from Bubalus bubalis (water buffalo), 1623 nucleotides. RefSeq lists it as uncharacterized. The record is from RefSeq and is a predicted model, not a curated record. The transcript is spliced from 2 exons. NCBI's taxonomy places the organism in Eukaryota, Metazoa, Chordata, Mammalia, Artiodactyla, Bovidae.
UGGACGUGAGUCUCCAUGAACUCUGGGAGUUGGUGAUGGACAGGGAGGCCUGGCGUGCUGCGAUUCAUGGGGUCGCAAAGAGUCGAACACGACCGAGCGACUGAACUGAACUGAACUGAACAGAGAACAAAAGCAUUCUAACCACACCUCAUCUCUCCUAAUGUUCUGAAGUGGUUCCAGACUGUGAACAAGGCUAAAAGAUACUAGGAUGCGCUCACAAUCGAUACAGUUAUUGGGCCAAUUUCUGUACCUGACAUACCCUUCCUUUGGGAGGAAAUCCCUCUGGGGCACCUGGCGGAAACAUUUGAAUCGAUUCCCAGCAGACUGUCCAACCAGGGUGCGCUGCUUGUGUAGACAAGCAGGCAGACAAGCAGGCACUGGGCGUAGUUAGACUCCACUGGAGAUACCCUUUUGAGGUUAAGUGGUUUUGAGUGACAAAGUAGCUCUUCUUUCAAGACAAGGAGUGGCUUGGAUUUUUUCUUGUAGGGAAAGAGACAAUGUCUUUUAGAAGGAAAGGAUAGAUAAGGCUUGGAUGGGUGCUUGGGCGAAUGAAUGAAAAGACUGAAAAUUUAUUAUGGAAAUGUAACUUAACUAUCUGCCAGUCCUGGGAAAUUUAAAGUUAUCUAAGCAUUGACCUUGACCUACGAACUAAUGGGACUUAGUUCAGAGCUACAAUUCACAAUUGUUAUGUUACUUUUCUUUUUUUUUUUAAUAGCAGUGAACAUCAUUUGGAUGUGUGAUAGUGUUGUCUAAGAGUUCCAAAGAAGUCCCCAUUUCCAGGGGAAAAUUUCCCUCUGCAUUACCAUCCUCUGGGAUUUCUCCCAACUACCUUAUGUUGUAUUACUAUGUUGUAAUCAUUUUGCAAUUGCUCUACUUCUGGACAAAUAAGAUAUGCAGCUUUAUUUUGGUAUGUUGACUUUUUGAGGAAAAGUCUUUGGGUGUUCACGGAGUCAUUGGAAUAAAAAUCUGGGGCCCAAACACACUUUUUUAUUUUCGUUAAAACCUAUUUUUCCAUAUAAACAAGUUUGAUCACAUAACACUAAAUGUGAUAGAGCACAUGUAGAAAUUGCAGCUGGCCACAGGAUGUAAAUGGGACGUAGAAUUUUGUAGUUAGAAUUUACCAUAGAGGUGACAGCAACUUAUUUUUAUAAAAACAAAAUCCGAUUGUUGCUCACUUCUCUUUCUCAGAAUUCACUCGCAGGCUUUGUCUUGAUCCUAUGAGUCAUGUUACCAUCUGGCCUUGGGAAGUGGGCCCCACCACAUCUGUGAUUCUGUCUCCUGCAAACACAACAUGAAAAGACCAACAGGGGCUGAAAAAUUGACUUAAAAUUAUUGCUUUCAAACCCACUAUCUUUUCUGCAAAGACAAAAUGGUUUGUGACUUCAAGAUAAUCAUAAUUUAGAAUGAGAUAUCAAAGACCGUUUUCCUAACAGGUUCCUGCGGUGGUUUUUCUGUCUCAAAAUCCCAAUUCAAGAUUGUCUUGAGACCUGGAAACUGAGAUACCAAGACCAUCAGAUUAUCUCAUGAAACCAGACUGAAAAUAAUUCUGUAACUCACACUGAUCUUGGCUACCAAAGGAUCUCAGUAGAUGAAUAUAAUGUGGAAGUAAACUUUAACUUGCUC